AGGACGAACGCUGGCGGCGCGCUUAACACAUGCAAGUCGAGCGAUCGACUCCGGGCUUGCCCGGAGCACGGAGCGGCGAACGGGUGAGUAACACGUGGGUGACCUACCCUUGGUUCCGGGAUAACUCCGGGAAACCGGCGCUAAUACCGGAUGGCCUCCGAUGUCUACGGACGUUUGAGAAAAGGUAGCUUUGGCCUCCGACCAAGGAUGGGCCCGCGGCCGAUUAGCUUGUUGGUGAGGUAAUGGCUCACCAAGGCGACGAUCGGUAGCUGGUGUGAGAGCAUGACCAGCCACACUGGGACUGAGACACGGCCCAGACUCCUACGGGAGGCAGCAGUGGGGAAUCUUGCGCAAUGGGCGAAAGCCUGACGCAGCGACGCCGCGUGCGGGAAGAAGGCCCUAGGGUUGUAAACCGCUUUCAGCAGGGAAGAAGAUGACGGUACCUGUAGAAGAAGGUGCGGCCAACUACGUGCCAGCAGCCGC
Molecule: ribosomal RNA, 483 nt
Filed under: uncultured bacterium
Lineage: Bacteria
Description: SSU rRNA
Rfam family: Bacterial small subunit ribosomal RNA
Source: RNAcentral